Small nuclear RNA from Loxodonta africana (African savanna elephant), 106 nucleotides. Lineage: Eukaryota; Metazoa; Chordata; Mammalia; Proboscidea; Elephantidae. The record is from Ensembl.
GUGCUCGCUUUGGCAGCACAUAUACUAAAAUUGGAACAGUACAAUGAAGAUUAGCAUGGCCCUGCACAAGGAUGACAUGCAAAUUAGUGAAGUGUUCCAUAUAUUU